AGGUCUCUAACAGAGAAUCCAAGACUGGGAUUUUUUUAAAGCUCUCUCCCCUUCCCCACCUUGAGUGUACAAUGGAGAGUGCUAGUGUGGUGUCACGUGGUGCAACAUGGCUCAGUGUUGUGUGAAACUAAGAUUUGGGGCAUAUUUUAUAAUGAACAUAACAUAUGAGCAUAACAGUCGUGAUUAACGUAUACAAUUAAAGAUAUGUGGAAAUGACUCCAUCUCCGGCCACACAUCCUCGGUGUCAUUUUGAUGGGGAUGGCUUAUGUUCUACUGCCACCUCGUGGUGGGCAUUCUGUGAACAUGCAUCUUGGAACAGUGGGGAGAACCAGUUUGGACUUCUGAGGAUCCAAAAGCCCAAGAAAAAAAUCUGAGUUCUCACGACAGAGUCACUUCCUGCCACAACACCUGGAAAAUGUCAUGACACGAGCUAGUCUCACUUCAGAGUCCCUGGUUUCUAGUACGGUGCCUGGCAGAUAGAUGACUUUCUUUAUAUGUUGCUGAAGAAAGGCAGAGAGGAAGAAAGAAGAGAGGAUAAAGGGAGGAAUAAACUUGAUAUAAGCAUCUUUGCAUAAUUAACAACUGGGUCAAAUUUUCCAUUUCAUUGAGAUUCUUGAUACAAGCCUCUGCUGAUGAAUUGGAUACCAAAAAGAUAUUGUUGUCCAGGCCACACCAUACGGGACUUACCACUCCCAGUUGCUAACAUCUGCACGUAUUUGCCUGGAGGUCUCCUCUGGUCACCAGAGCCUACUCUGCCUGGGCCACAUGACAAGGUGAUGUGCUAAGGAACAAAAGUCCCCAGGAGUAUCCCUCAAGCAGUGUUGGACUGGAGUUGAGCAGGUCAUGAUCCACAUGAAAAACUGAGGGAAGACAUCCAGGACCUGUUGGAGAGCACAUGCAAAGAAGUUGGGGCACAGAAAAGGAAAGCAGCAAGAGUCGGGCAGAGAUUGAUCCCCAAGGAACUUGGAAUACCAUGGGAAAGGUUAAUCGUCCUCGAAGAGAGAGAGAAACAAAAGAAAAAUGAAAAAAGGAAAGAUAUUUUCUCCACAAAGACUCAGAAAAGCUACAAUCCUAAGAAGUCAAAACUAUAAUGGGCUUGAGUUGAAGACUCCAAGGAUCUUUACAGUUAUGUGACCUGUCCAAGGUUCCACAGCUCACCUUUUCAUUUUGCACUGGGCCCAAGUUAUGUAGCCAGCCUGCUUAGAGAUCUCU
Molecule: long non-coding RNA, 1212 nt
Organism: Gorilla gorilla gorilla (western lowland gorilla)
Lineage: Eukaryota; Metazoa; Chordata; Mammalia; Primates; Hominidae
Exons: 7
Source: RefSeq, a predicted model, not a curated record